CUCUGCUAAAAGAUAUUGUAGGAUCAGAGUCUACUUUUUGGUAGAACCUUGCAUCGCCAAGUUGUCGUUCAGCCUCUUGAAUAUAGGCAGAUUUAUCCAUGACAACCACUGCACUGCCUUUGUCUGCAGGUUUAAUGACGAUAUUGUUGUUAGAUCGUAAGUUUUUUUAGUGCAGUCCGUUCUUCAUUGGUAAGAUUGUCAAAAG
RNAcentral lists this long non-coding RNA (205 nucleotides) under Mytilus galloprovincialis (Mediterranean mussel). Lineage: Eukaryota; Metazoa; Mollusca; Bivalvia; Mytilida; Mytilidae. The record is from RNAcentral.